Molecule: long non-coding RNA, 1722 nt
Organism: Myotis myotis
Lineage: Eukaryota; Metazoa; Chordata; Mammalia; Chiroptera; Vespertilionidae
Exons: 2
Source: RefSeq, a predicted model, not a curated record
CAUAGGCAAAUUAACCGCCAUCUUUGUUGGGUUAAUUUGCAUACCCAUCCUGAUUGGCUGGUGGGCAUAGUGGAGUGACACCAAUUUGCAUGUUUCUCUUUUAUUAGUGUAGAUUACCUAGGAGGAGAGAGAAGUGUUCAUUUACUAAAACUUGGGUUAGUUAAUUAUGAUGCCGUAAUUUUUAUGGUAGUGACUGUACAUAAUAAAAUAAGAAUGUAUAAGUUACAAACUAGAAGUAGGUUUAAAUAUAUAUAAUUUAGUUCAGAGAGGAAGGGAGAGGAAGGGAGAAAUAUCAAUGAUGAGAGAGAAUCAUCAUGGCACAACCUGUCUUGCCCUGAAAUAGUGAGGGGAGGUGUGGCUAGGGUUGAGUAAAUGAUAAAGAGACAUUAGUCCUGGCAGAAAUGGGGCUGUGCAGGUCCCCAAAGCUCCUCCCUAUCCUCACAACAGCCCUGAGGUCACCUCAGAGUAAUGGUGUCUGUCCCAUUAUACAGAUGAAGAAACUGAGGCUCCCAGAAUGUCCUGGUUCACUCUGAAGGCAGUGUCAAAUCUGCUUUGCUCCCUUUUUAAAGUUGAUUUUUAGAGAGAGGGGGGGAGUGGGAGAGAAAGAGAAACAUCAAUGUGAGAGAGAAACAUCGAUUGGCUGCCUCCUGCAUCCACCCUGACUGGGAGGUCCGCAAUGUAGGUAAGUGCCCUGACAGGGAAUAGAACCCACAACCUUUUGUGUAUGGGACGACGCUCCAAUGAACUGAGCCACCCGGCCAGGGUUGCUCUGUUCACUUUUGAAUCUCUAGCACGUAGCACAGUGCAUAGCCAAGGCAAAUGUUCAGCUUUAUUUAUGAACGUAUCGAGUAGCUCACUGUCCCCACAAUAUUUAUGGUGUGAGGUGAAUUCCUAUAUUUCUAGUGCCAGUAAGAAAAUAUGCAAACAGCUAACAGUCUUUCCAGUCGGUGGGCAGUAAACACACUUGAUCAAUAUUUCUUCUUGUCAUUAGCAGUGUCUGCACAUUCUUCCUCCUCAGGCCCAGCUUCCUCCCCAGACCCCUGCUGGACCAACGUCCUCCUAAAACUACCCUCUGUGAAGACCAAACUGACAUCUUAAUUCUUAAUGGUGGCCGUAGUAGAUUGGUAGGUCCCCUAAGACAUGUAGCAAUUCAUUGGGGGAACUUCCUCUUUUUUGUGACAUUUUGGUGGCAAAUGCUAAGUGGAAUCUUAGCAUUUUGCUGGCAUAAGCUCAAAAGAAUAAGGCAACCAGAGGGGUGAGAGGAAAAGCACAGAGAUGAGCCCAGCCCACUCCCACCGCUUCUCCUGAUUUUUCCUUCCCAAUAGGAACCCAGCCUUUCCAAAGCCCCUCGGGGUUAGGUGCCCUGCUCGCUUAAGGCUGGGGACCUUGGCCUUGUGAGUUGGGGUCCCUUGCAGAGCUGAGCCCAGGUGUGCUCCAGAACCACGGACAGCGCCAACCCUCUGGCCAGGAGCUCCCCAGCUGGAUGGAUGGUCCCCUGGAGGCUGAACCUUGACCUGUCUCAUGUGGAGGAUGUUGGCCUCUCGAGUCCUCACUGCCUCAGUAGCCCCAGACUCCAUUUCUGUCUCCCGCCCCACGAUGCUGCUGAACUCAGCUCCGACUCCCAACCUCAGCCUUCCGGACCCUCCUGCAGAAUAUCAUCUGCCCUUUGCUCUGCGAUUCUGGCUGCUCUUUGAUGUAUUCAAAUAGACUGUUUUAUAUCUC